This is a long non-coding RNA of Hypomesus transpacificus, 3563 nucleotides long. RefSeq lists it as uncharacterized. The transcript is spliced from 4 exons. The record is from RefSeq and is a predicted model, not a curated record. Lineage: Eukaryota; Metazoa; Chordata; Actinopteri; Osmeriformes; Osmeridae.
CGCAGCCUUGCAGGCUGCUCUUUCGCAACAAGGUUCCUGCACAUUCGGUGCAAGUUUGGUUACAUUGUUUGGCUAAAUAUUAUGUGUGCGCAUGAAUAACCUCGGGUUUCUUGUAGUCUAUUCGAUGGCUAAUGUAGACUCGAUAUCAAUAAGUCCUUGCAGGUUGAUAACCUAGAGCUUCGGCCCCUCCGAUUUUGCUCGCAUUACUUGCAAGCGCUUUGAAAAACAAGUGAGGAAAUGUACGCUACAGAGUUCUACAAAACAUAUCCAUGGAAUAAGGCGUUAUACGCUUAUGUAUGCAGGGUGUGUUGGUUGUGGUUGAUGUAUAUAAAGAACAACAAAUACUAAACAGAUAAUCAACAACUAAUAUAAAAUUGUAUUUAUUUGCGGUGGAUAGUAAAUGUUAUAGCCGACUAAUACUGACUUCUGUUUUAAUGGUGGCAAUCGAUAUACCUAAAAGGUAGCUAGGUGGCUGUCUAUAGAAGCUGUUCGGUGCCACGCACAUGGGUUACCCCGACUAGGCACUAAGCAGCAAACUAAUAAAAAGUCCUCUUAUAUAUUACAUUACAUAAAAUGAUAUUUACAGACAUUCGGUUAUAGUACAGUUGUCUGAUUGGUCUGCAAACUGUCAGCUUCAUUACAAUUGUGUUGCUGUCUUUUAUGCGUUAUGCCUUAUUUAUUUAUUUUCUGUGCACGGGAUUGCCACUUCUUGAUCUCACGGCUAAACUGCGUUAUGCACUGAGCUGGACCUGGGCAAGAUUCACGUUUGUGUGAUUUUGCUAAAAUGCAUCACCAACAGCGAAUGGCUGCCUUAGGGACAGACAAAGAACUAAGCGACUUAUUGGAUUUCAGUGCGAUGCGAAACAGCGAUUUGAAAAUGUUCCCAACAUCAAUGAUGUUUUCCCCUCCUGUUACCAGUGGAAAGAACGGACCCACCUCUCUCAGCAGUGGACAUUUCUCAGGCUCAAGUAUGUCAAUCAUAGCUCAUUUUAAUAGCAGAAUGACAGUGGCUUGUUGCACGUACACGAGUGGUUAAAUGGAUUUGUUUGGGUUUUUUCAAAUUCCUCCUUUUUUGACAUUGUGGAUGAUAUUGACACUUUUUGUUGUUGUUGCUUUGUACAUCAGAGAUCAAGCUGGGUAGACGCAGAGUGUAUCUAAAACAUGUUAUCAUAGCUUAUUUGUGCACUGUAUGUUUUUGGACCUUGAUGUUAGUGGUGAACUUAUGCAGGGAUUAGUGAUGUAGGCAGGUUAUGCUAACAUUUAAUAGAUCCCCUUCUCAUCAGUGUGAAUGCAAAAUGGGGUUCAUGGUUUUGUUUUAUUGUCAAGACUUGAUUGCGUAAAUGCAAAAUGUGACGUUUUGCAGGCUGGUGGAAAGACAGAGCUUCUGAAAUGUCUUCUUUGUCUCUUCGGUUGUGGCCUUGUUGUCAUUUGCAUCAUGGGGUUUCCAGGCUAGCUUUUGUCUGGAAAAUUCUGAAACUCCAUUUUGAGGUUAGGUAUUGUGCUUGAAAAAAAAAAAAUCUGUUUUCUAUCAUAUUUUUUUCUGUAGCGUCACACCUAAAUGCACAUUGUACAGUACACAAAAUAGUACUGCUUCAUUAUGACACAAUGGUUUUGAAUCCUCUUUCACAACAUAUGACCUGUACACCCUUUCUUCCUACUGUAGUUACAGAGAGUGUCUAUUCCUGUGUGUUUUAGGCUAGAAUGCAAUGUAGGCCAAAGUGGCCCAGAAGGCUAUUUAAAAUGACCAUGCUUUUCUUCGUCUCGAGAACAUGCUGGAAAACGUACAUUUAUUUUUUAUAAAAUCUAGAACGAGUUAGAGCUUUGAGUUGACGUUCCUUUUUCCCAUUAUGAAGUUUUUUCUUAUGUUGUGCAUGUUUGUUCAGUUGACAUGCUCAGUCAAUUCUGCUAAGCCCAUGCAGUUGCAGGCCCAAACCAGGAACUGGACGAGGGAAUAUGAUUAGAUAUUUUGGGAACACCCAAAGAGAGACAGAGCACAUCAUUCUUUCACGGGCUCGAUACCCUAUCCUUCCCCUCGCUGUCGCUGUUUUCAAGUUCAACUCGGCUAUUUACGAUCUUGGCAAUUGCCAUGUUUUUCUGCGUCUUAUAACCUCUCAGAUCCUGUGUUUUUCCCGUGAAUUGUGUUGUAGGGUAGAGAGGGGGUGGGGUGUGUGUGUGUGUGUGUGUGUGAGGGGGUACCAAACUGCUCUACCCUGUUGCCAUGCAACUUGCAGUUGGCAGCGAUAAGGAGGAAAUGUUUUAUAAAGUGUGAAUUGACAAAAAAAAAGAAAAAUACAAGCAGCAAACCUUAAAUCUCAUGUGUAGGCCUGUGCUAUAUUUAUUUGAUUUAUCUUUUCAAGCUGAAACAUCAGCUCAGGAGGCGAUCACCAAAUCCAUCUGUAGCGUUUAUUUCCCCCUUUUGUGAAGAGAAAAGCGGCGCACAAACAAGCAGUGCCGCUCAGCCCUGUCGGUGCCAGUGUUCCGCAUUUGAGAAAUUUGGGUGAAGGCAGAUAUGGCCUGAUGGCAUGCCAUAUUUUUGUUCUCUUAAUCGGCAUAGCUUAUUAAGUCACAGUUCAGAGUAAGAAUGUUUUAAUAAUAUCCUGCCACCCAUUUGAUGCACUUGUACCCAGACAGAUAAAGUGCUCCAACGCAAGCCUGACUGUUCCCUGCCUCUAUUCAUUCAAAUCUGCUUUGGUCAUGCUUGUCAGUCAAAACGGACGGAUUGCAUUCAAAAUAAAGAUGAAGCGAGGGAACCAGUCGCUUAAUACUCGAUUCCUCUCCUCCUCCCACUAUCUUCUUUUUUUUUUUUUUUUUGCCUCAGAGUGUUAAAUUGUCUUGUUCCGAGGAAGCAAGAAGGACUACAAAAAAACAGCCAUGCUCUAAUUGUUCAACGGAUUAGGAAUUAAUAGGCAUUUUAGCUAUAAUGGCAAUAUUAUUAGCAGAAUUUGCUACUAAUACUAAUAAUUACUCUGCUAAUAAUGGCACUCAUUUCAAGGUUGUGUCUGAGUCUCAUCUAUGCUCAAGCCUCAAAGAUAGAUACUCUUUAGCCUUGAUUGCAAGACCAAAUGUUAGACAUGGUUUGGAUUUAUGGCAGUGUAGCGAAAGACUAGAAAGACUUGUACCAGUGGAACCUUUUUGUGCAGCAUGCUUACAUUCCAUCGCGAAAGUAACUCAAUCUACAAGUAUGACAACAUGACUUCAGGAGACAUGAGACAGAGGAUAGGAUACCGAGCAAUGUGACCCACAGAGACUUCACCUGGUUUCGUGUUUCCCAUUGAGAAAGGCUGGACCCCCGAAUAACACAUAUUGGGCUUUUAAUCAGCCCCUUGUUUGGCCAAAUGCAAUCCUCGGGAUUUACAGCUGCGUUCUUAAGGUUAGGCUACAUUCCUAGUUACUGUGCUUCUCCAAACACACCAGCAGCUGCAGGGAGUGUAGGCUCAAGUCCACAACUUCCUGCCCAGGCGCUUCACCACAAGUCUCCCCUCUGUUGCAUUUUGCAAAGCCAUGUCUAUGGCCAUCUCUUAGUGGCAAAUAAAAAGUAUCAUGUGCCUACUGUGUGAUUUCGA